UAAACGACUCUCGGCAACGGAUAUCUCGGCUCUCGCAUCGAUGAAGAACGUAGCGAAAUGCGAUACUUGGUGUGAAUUGCAGAAUCCCGUGAACCAUCGAGUCUUUGAACGCAAGUUGCGCCCGAAGCCGUUAGGCCGAGGGCGCGUCUGCCUGGGCGUCACAC
RNAcentral lists this ribosomal RNA (164 nucleotides) under Polylepis multijuga. RNAcentral describes it as "5.8S ribosomal RNA". It matches the Rfam family "5.8S ribosomal RNA". From Rfam's summary of the family: 5.8S ribosomal RNA (5.8S rRNA) is a component of the large subunit of the eukaryotic ribosome. It is transcribed by RNA polymerase I as part of the 45S precursor that also contains 18S and 28S rRNA. Functionally, it is thought that 5.8S rRNA may be involved in ribosome translocation. The record is from RNAcentral. Lineage: Eukaryota; Viridiplantae; Streptophyta; Magnoliopsida; Rosales; Rosaceae.